CCGCUGAACUUAAGCAUAUCAAUAAGCGGAGGAAAAGAAACCAACAGGGAUUACCUCAGUAACGGCGAGUGAAGCGGUAACAGCUCAAAUUUGAAAUCUGGGUCUUUCAGGCUCCGAGUUGUAAUUUGUAGAAGAUGCUUCGGGUGCGGCUCCGGUCUAAGUUCCUUGGAACAGGACGUCAUAGAGGGUGAGAAUCCCGUAUGUGAUCGGUUGCUUGCGCCCAUGUGAAGCUCUUUCGACGAGUCGAGUUGUUUGGGAAUGCAGCUCAAAAUGGGUGGUAAAUUUCAUCUAAAGCUAAAUAUUGGCCAGAGACCGAUAGCGCACAAGUAGAGUGAUCGAAAGAUGAAAAGCACUUUGGAAAGAGAGUUAAACAGUACGUGAAAUUGUUGAAAGGGAAGCGCUUGCAACCAGACUUGCGCGUUGCCGAUCAUCCGGGGUUCUCCCCGGUGCACUCGGCCUCGCUCAGGCCAGCAUCGGUUUCGGUGGUGGGAUAAAGGCCUUGGGAAUGUAGCUCCUCUCGGGGAGUGUUAUAGCCCUCGGUGCAAUGCCGCCUACCGGGACCGAGGACCGCGCUUCGGCUAGGAUGCUGGCGUAAUGGUUGUAAGCGACCCGUCUUGAAACACGGACCAAGGAGUCUAACAUCUAUGCGAGUGUUUGGGUGUCAAACCCAUACGCGUAAUGAAAGUGAACGGAGGUGAGAACCCUUAAGGGUGCAUCAUCGACCGAUCCUGAUGUCUUCGGAUGGAUUUGAGUAAGAGCAUAGCUGUUGGGACCCGAAAGAUGGUGAACUAUGCCUGAAUAGGGUGAAGCCAGAGGAAACUCUGGUGGAGGCUCGCAGCGGUUCUGACGUGCAAAUCGAUCGUCAAAUUUGGGUAUAGGGGCGAAAGACUAAUCGAACCAUCUAGUAGCUGGUUCCUGCC
Molecule: ribosomal RNA, 920 nt
Filed under: Coptosperma littorale
Lineage: Eukaryota; Viridiplantae; Streptophyta; Magnoliopsida; Gentianales; Rubiaceae
Description: eukaryotic LSU rRNA
Rfam family: Eukaryotic large subunit ribosomal RNA
Source: RNAcentral